UGCGGGUUCUGAAACCUCGCUCUGAGGAAGUGUGAGGGGCUCCGCACGUGGGGCGGGGGCAGUGAGCCGGGAGGACGGGUGAGGGUGUUGGGUUCAAUGUCUCGCGCGUGGGGCUGACGUGUUCUCUUUGGGUUUUGAGCGGGGGAUAAAUCAGUGUGGUUAUUGGUCUUGGGAAGAAUUCCACUGCAGGGGGCCGGCGCCAGCGUGAGUGGAAGCCUAACCGAUGGUACCUCAGAGGGCGAGUAGGAGGGUCUUGAAGGCGCCGCUCGGACAGUGACAAUAUGAACCUCUUACCCAAAAGCUGCCAGGAGUUCGGCUCCGUUGACUAUUGGGAGAAGUUCUUCCAGCAGCGAGGAAGGAGAGCUUUCGAGUGGUAUGGAAGCUACCUGGAGCUGUGCGGGGUGCUGCACAAAUACAUCAAACCCAGAGAGAAGCCCAGAAGAAAUGGAAAAAGGACAGGAAGAAGCAGUGGCCUGCUGACACUCCAGAGGACCUCCCCACAGCCCCAGGGCAGUCCAUUGACGAGUUACCUGUGCUGUGAACACCACAAAGCAAUGAUUGCGGGCCUUGCCCUGCUCAGAAACCCGGAGCUGCUCCUAGAGACCCCACUGGCAUUGUUGGUGGUAGGCCUGGGUCGGGGCAGCCUCCCCCUGUUUGUCCACGAUCAUUUCCCGAAGUCCUGCGUUGAUGCUGUGGAGAUCGACCCCUCCAUGUUGGAAGUGGCCACCCAGUGGUUUGGCUUCUCCCAGAGUGACCGGAUGAAGGUCCAUAUUGCAGAUGGACUGGACUAUAUUACCAGCCUGGCGGGAAGAGAAGCAUGGCCCUACUACAGUGUUGUCGUGUUUGAUGUCAUCAGUAAGGACCCAACACUGGGAAUGAGUUGUCCACCACCAGCAUUUGUGGAUCAGCCUUUCCUGCAGAAGGUCAAAAGCAUCUUGACUCCUGAAGGUCUUCUACUAUCCUGAGUUUGUGCUGUCUGUGCCCUGAUGGCUGGCCUUGGGCUGCCAGGGCUAUUCCAGGCCUAUGGAGCUUUGGCCAGAUCUCAACCACCUGAAUGUCCUCAGGGUGAAGCAAUCUCUCACCCAAAAUAUUUCAGCAAUGGAGCUUUAAACUGGAGCCUGCUCCUGUCACCUGGCCUCUUCAGCACUCAAUCCUUUCCGGGUUUCUGGCUGCCCUGACCUGCUUGGCCCAUGGACGUGCUGACCACACUGUCUUGUGGAUCUCUGGCCAAGCUCAACCACGACACAGCCUCCUGCAUGGAGGAAGCCAACCCCUACCAAAUCCUUCUAAGGAAGCAGCUGCAAAUGGAUGACAGUCCCCAUUUAGACUGGCUGCCUACUGGGAUCCCGGCUCUCUCCAGUGACCAGGGCUCCCAGUUGUCUCUUAUUGGAGGAUAUCCUGGCCAGACUGCUUGGUUGCUCCAUGGCAGGCCAGUUGAAUAACCUUUAGGUCUGCCUUCAUGGGGAAUUCCCUGUUUGGCUUGUAGGGCUUUCAAUUAGGCAUAAACCCUAUCCCCUAAGAGUUUGCUCUUGUGCUCUAGCGUCUCCCAACUCCUGUCCUGUUCCAGAUCCCUGGCUUCCCUGAAUAGCACUGCAUAUGCAUAUGCCACAUGCACACAUUCAGCAGGCUUUGGACAGCAGGGUCCUAGAGUCACACAGAACUAGGACUGGACCCAACCAGCUGCAGAGCCUCCAGGAAGGAAUGAGUCCACCCCUCAAUAAUCACACUGAGGCAACAGAUUGCUGAUCGUCCCCAUUUGCACUUGCUACUUGAUCAGGCUCUGGCUUCUUUAGCAAGUGGGACUCUCAGGUGUGUCCUACUGGAGGUACACCUGCUAGAUACCCAGCCCACAAUGACAGAAGCAAUGCAGUCUGCUGCAGCUCUGUCUCCAGGGGCAGUACGUGUAUUUGUAUAGCCUAAGACUUAAAAUUAAGCCCAUUCCCUGUUCUUUACACGUCUAUACUUGUGUUCCUGACCCUUGCUACAUUACAGAUACCUGGCAACCCUGACCCCCCCCCCCCCCCCCCGCACAUGCAUACACAGUACACACCCCUGUAGCAGGCUGUGGGUAGCCCAGGCUGACCUGGGAAACUGACCUCCCCCAACCACCUGCAUGCCUCCAGCUUGGAGGGAGCCCACCCCCAGAAAUCACUCAGAGGCAGCUGCAAAUUGGCAACAGUCAGUCCCCAUUUGGACUUCCUUCUUGAUCCAGUUGUGGGCUGCUUUUGCAUCCAGGGCUUCGAGGUAUUUUUUUUUUUUUUUGCUUCGAGGUAUUUUUUAUUGGAGGAUACGUGAGCCAGCUGUCCAGCCCACCCUGGCAAGGUAGUCCAGUAUCUUCUGCCUUCAUGAGGAAUAUGGGUGUUUGUGUAGGCUAGGGCUUACAGUUAUGCCCAUACCUUGUUCCACAAGAGCUUGAUCCUGUGAUCUUGCCUUUCCAGACCCUUACCCUGGUCAAGAUCCCUGGCACCCUUAAAUGCACUGUGCCCAUAUGUGCAGUACAUAUCCCUUCAGCAGGCCUUGGGCAGCUAAAACUCUCCACACUGGGGAAGCUAGGUCCAAGCCCCAAUCAACUGCAUAGCUACCCAAAUAAAGAGAGCCUACCUCCUGAAAAAUCACUCUGAAGUAGCAGCUGCAAAUAGGCAACAUACAGUCCUCAUUUGACUUGCUGCCUGAUCGGGCUGGGCUUCUCUAGCAGUCAGGCCUCCCAGCUGUCUCUUCUUAAUGGCCCCUCCCUAGCAAGUCAGUCGAGUGACCUUGAGCGCUACUAUCAGAGGAAAUUCCUCAUUUCUUAGGUUAGGGCUUGUCAUUAGGCAUAAGCUUUGAUUGUCAAGACCUUGCUCUAACCAUAACCAGACUUCCCCCUGGGGUUUCUUAUUGGAGGAUUCACCAGAAAACAGCCUAGCCCAACCCGACAAGGUGGUCUAAUAUACUCCAGUUCUGCUUAAGGGGGAAUAUGGGCAUCUGUGCAGGAAGGGCUAGCUUCUAGGCAUAGGCCUGUCCCCCAAGAGUCUGUUCCUGUGGGCCAGCCUCUCCAGGUCCAUGCCCAGUGGCUGCUUCAGAGUGAUUUUAGGGGGCUGGGCUCUCCCCCCCACAAGGCUGGUUCACAGGAGCGGGUUUUUGGGGAUACAAGGUUAUCUGCCUAAUUCUAAGAACUGAUCUACACAAAUGUCCAUAUUCCACAAGAAGGCAGAGCUGGAGGAGUCUUGAUGGUGUUGCCACAUCAAGGCUGGAUAGAGGUCCAGGGUACUCCAAUAAGAGACAGCUUGGGAGCCUUGAAUCCUGGAAAAGCCUGGGACCCCACCAGGCAGCCUGUCCAAAUGGGGACUUACUGUCAACACUUUAAAGCUGCCACUUCAUAAAGAUUAUCACCAAUUUAAAUCAGUCCCCAUUUGGACUUGUUGCUUGAUCGAGUCUUGGGUUUCUCAUAUUGAAGGAUACCCCUGCAAGUUUCCCCAGCCCUUCCAUAAGGAGGCAGUUGAGUAAUUUGGACCUCUGCCUUCAGGAGGGAGUAUUACCAUUGAGCAGGUUACUACUGAGGGUUAGGCAUAUGUUGACCCCCACCCCCGGCCCUGCUCCCAUGACCUGGCCUCUACAGAGCCUUGCCCUCUUCCAGAUGCCUGUCACCUCUGAACUGCACUUCAUGUGCAUGUGUAGCAAGCGCCCCUGUAGCAGGCCUUGGGAAGCUGGGUCCCUCAUAAGGGUUUCGGAGGAUGUUGAUAAUUCAGAACCCUUGCGCACUGUUGGGAACAUAAAAUGUGGCAGCCACUAUGGAAAACAGUAUGGGGGUUCCUCAAAAAAUUAAUGAUAGAAUUACCCUAUGAUCAAGAUAUCCCAUUUCUGGGUAUAUAUCCAAAAGAAUUGAAAGCAGUAUCUUGAAGAGGUACUUGCAUCCCCAUGUUCAUAGCAGUACUAUUCACAGUAGCUAAGAGGGGGAGCAACCCAAAUAUCCACUGGUGGGUGGAUGCAUAGACGCAGUAGGAUGCUAAUCAGCCUUGAAAAAGAAGGAAAUCGUCACAUACGCUACAAGAUGGAUCAUCCUUGAGGAUACUGGGCUAAUCACAAAAAGAAAUACCAUAUGGCUCCACUUGUAUAGGGUAUCUGAAGUAGUCACAUUCAUAGAAAUAGAAAGUAGAACUUUUCAUUGCCCAGGUUUUGGGAGAGGCUAAGAUGGGGAGUUGUUCAAUGGCUAUAGUUUCCAUUUUACAUGAAAAAAUACUAGAGAUCUGUUGCACAAUAAUGUGGAUAUUGCUAACACUACUCAACUAUAUACUUUAAAAUGGUUAAGAGGGAGGGCACCUGCCUGGCACGGUUGGUAGAGCAUGUGACUCUUGAUCUCAGGGUCAUGAGUUUGAGCCCCACAUUGGGUGCA
Molecule: RNA transcript, 4369 nt
Organism: Zalophus californianus (California sea lion)
Lineage: Eukaryota; Metazoa; Chordata; Mammalia; Carnivora; Otariidae
Gene name: eEF1A lysine and N-terminal methyltransferase-like
Exons: 6
Source: RefSeq, a predicted model, not a curated record